GCCUAGCUCAGUCAGUAGAGCAUGAGACUGUUGAUCUCAUAAUGGUGGGUUAAAGCCCCACAUUGGGCA
RNAcentral lists this transfer RNA (69 nucleotides) under Felis catus (domestic cat). It matches the Rfam family "tRNA". From Rfam's summary of the family: Transfer RNA (tRNA) molecules are approximately 80 nucleotides in length. Their secondary structure includes four short double-helical elements and three loops (D, anti-codon, and T loops). Lineage: Eukaryota; Metazoa; Chordata; Mammalia; Carnivora; Felidae. RNAcentral also lists the same sequence under 4 other names. The record is from Rfam by way of RNAcentral.